RNAcentral lists this small RNA (1867 nucleotides) under Pongo abelii (Sumatran orangutan). RNAcentral's name for it is "retained intron". The record is from RNAcentral. Lineage: Eukaryota; Metazoa; Chordata; Mammalia; Primates; Hominidae.
GACUGAGGGGCGGGGCCGCACCUGCUGCCACUGCCGGGGCUGCGCCGCCGCCGGGGCUGUUGCCGUUGCGCACCUGGCUCAGGUGAGCUGCCCCGCCCCCGCCCGGCGCGAGCCCCAGGUCCUGGCAGCAGGUGAGUGGCGGUCGCCAUCAGACCCGCGAAGCCUCUGACCUGUCCAGGUGCCCUGUCCAGCUGACUGCAAAGACAGAGAGGAGUCCUGCCCAGCUCUUGGAUCAGUCUGCUUGGCCAAGGAGCCCAGUGGAGCCGGGGGUGACCCUGGAGCCCAGCCUGCCCCGAGGAGGCCCUGGCUCAGAGCCAUGCCAGGGUCAAGGCCAACCUGUCAGAGGUGCUUGUGUCCAGUGUCCUGGGGGUCAACGUGACCAGCGCUGAGGUCUAUGGAGCCUUCACCUGCUCCAUCCAGAAUGUCAGCUCCUCCUCCUUCACUCUUCAGAGAGCUGGCCCUACAAGCCACGUGGCUGCGGUGCUGGCCUCCCUCCUGGUCCUGCUGGCCCUGCUGCUGGCCGCCCUGCUCUAUGUCAAGUGCCGUCUCAACGUGCUGCUCUGGUACCAGGACGCGUAUGGGGAGGUGGAGAUGAACGCGACUGCCCCGAGGACCGCAAGUUCGUGAACUUCAUCCUGAAGCCGCAGCUGGAGCGCCGUCGGGGCUACAAGCUUUUCCUGGACGACCGCGACCUCCUGCCGCGCGCUGAGCCCUCCGCCGACCUCUUGGUGAAUCUGAGCCGCUGCCGACGCCUCAUCGUGGUGCUUUCGGACGCCUUCCUGAGCCGGGCCUGGUGCAGCCACAGCUUCCGGUGGGUCCCGCGCGGGGUUGGGUGGGCCCCAGCUUAGCACCCACCCCCUGACGGUCCCGCCCCGCAGGGAGGGCCUGUGCCGGCUGCUGGAGCUCACCCGCAGGCCCAUCUUCAUCACCUUCGAGGGCCAAAGGCGCGACCCCGCGCACCCGGCGCUCCGCCUGCUACGCCAGCACCGCCACCUGGUGACCUUGCUGCUCUGGAGGCCCGGCUCCGUGGUGCGGAGCAGGCGUGGGAGGGUCCGGGACGAGCGGCGGGUUAGAGAUGGGCGGUGCCCGGGCUCCAGGCUGGGACCCCUCCGUGGGGAGCUCUGAGGCACCACGCUUUGUGAAUGGGCCCUCGGGGGAGGUUCCGCUGCCUGGGGCCCCGAUGGGGGGAGCCACCCUUGAGGUCCCCGGAGCCACGGAAUAGCUGUCGCAGGGCGUGGAACCCAUGGGCAGCCGCAGGUGUGCUCUUGGGGGCUAGGACGCCAGGGGCUACCGAGGUGUUCACACCUGCAAACCGCCCCAACCUGGCCCCCAGACUCCUUCCUCCGAUUUUUGGAAAGAACUGCAGCUGGCGCUGCCGCGGAAGGUGCAGUACAGGCCAGUGGAAGGAGACCCCCAGACGCAGCUGCAGGACGACAAGGACCCCAUGCUGAUUCUUCGAGGCCGAGUCCCGGAGGGCCGGGCCCUGGACUCAGAGGUGGACCCGGACCCUGAGGGCGACCUGGGUGUCCGGGGGCCUGUCUUUGGAGAGCCAUCAGCUCCACCGCACACGAGUGGGGUCUCGCUGGGAGAGAGCCGGAGCAGCGAAGUGGACGUCUCGGAUCUCGGCUCGCGAAACUACAGUGCCCGCACAGACUUCUAUUGCCUGGUGUCCAAGGAUGAUGUGUAGCUCCCACCCCAGAGUGCAGGAUCAUAGGGACAGCGGGGGCCAGGGCAGGGGCGUCGCUCCUCUGCUCAACAGGACCACAACCCCUGCCAGCAGCCCUGGGACCCUGCCAGCAGCCUUGGGAAAAGGCUGUGGCCUCAGGGCGCCUCCCAGUGCCAGAUAAUAAAGUCCUUUUGGAUUCUG